Molecule: transfer RNA, 74 nt
Filed under: Candidatus Woesearchaeota archaeon
Lineage: Archaea; Nanobdellati; Candidatus Woesearchaeota
Description: tRNA-Thr
Rfam family: tRNA
About the family: Transfer RNA (tRNA) molecules are approximately 80 nucleotides in length. Their secondary structure includes four short double-helical elements and three loops (D, anti-codon, and T loops).
Source: RNAcentral
GCCCCGGUAGCUUAGUCAGUUAUAGCGCCACCUUGGUAAGGUGGAGGUCGAGAGUGCAAUUCUCUCCCGAGGCU